Molecule: ribosomal RNA, 497 nt
Filed under: uncultured bacterium
Lineage: Bacteria
Description: partial 16S ribosomal RNA
Rfam family: Bacterial small subunit ribosomal RNA
Source: RNAcentral
GAUGAACGCUGGCGGCGUGCCUAAUACAUGCAAGUCGAGCGAACGGACGAGAAGCUUGCUUCUCUGAUGUUAGCGGCGGACGGGUGAGUAACACGUGGAUAACCCACCUAUAAGACUGGGAUAACUUCGGGAAACCGGAGCUAAUACCGGAUAAUAUUUUGAACCGCAUGGUUCAAAAGUGAAAGACGGUCUUGCUGUCACUUAUAGAUGGAUCCGCGCUGCAUUAGCUAGUUGGUAAGGUAACGGCUUACCAAGGCAACGAUGCAUAGCCGACCUGAGAGGGUGAUCGGCCACACUGGAACUGAGACACGGUCCAGACUCCUACGGGAGGCAGCAGUAGGGAAUCUUCCGCAAUGGGCGAAAGCCUGACGGAGCAACGCCGCGUGAGUGAUGAAGGUCUUCGGAUCGUAAAUCUCUGUUAUUAGGGAAGAACAUAUGUGUAAGUAACUGUGCACAUCUUGACGGUACCUAAUCAGAAAGCCAGGGCUAACUACGUG